AAAGCUGGGAAAGAACAGCUUUUCUGUAUGUGUUGCAUUUGAGGCUAUUCAAAGUGAUCUCCAGCUCUUGUUCAUAGCUUGCUUUAAGUCAGUUCUGCAUGUUUCUCAUGUGAUAAAGAAUGAAACUUAUCCUGAUUACUGCAGUAAGUUUGCUUCUUCACCAGCUGGGAUAUUUCUUUAUGAGGAAAGCUACAGUACAGGAGGGAUCUGUAUGCAGAUGGCAGUGAGCCAAAGGUGACACAGGACCCUUCAUGAUCUGUGUGGUCUGGGGCUAUUUUGAACUGUCAGUACCAGCAAGGCAGUGACAUCUCUGAAGAAGCCUUGUGCAGAGCAGCAGGGUUGGAGCCCAGGAUGCCCAAUGGGACACAGAAGGCUUUUCCUGAACAUAGGAGUAGCCUUAGCAAGCAAGAUGGCACACGGGAGUGAAUCCACAAAAAGGAGUCCUCAGCAUAUGGUCACUUCUGCAGCAGCAAUGAGACUUGAGGCAGGAUGGCACAGAAGCAUCACUGAGUUCGUGCCAACCUCUGAGAAGUCCAUCAGCAAGGUUGAGGUUCCUGGCGUGCUCACAAAGCCUCAGAAAGACAAUCUCCCUGGCAGCUAACCCAGGCUGCUGGGAAGAGCAACAGCCCUUGCUAGGAGCCACCUCUGAGCAAGGAGUCUGUAAUGGGAUCCCCAAGUGGAGGGAAAGCCACCUGGCUGCUGCACAGACAUCUGUGCAGAAGGGAUCCUCUGAAGAAUGGGUUGAAUGGUUUAUUUGGUGGGUGACAUGAGAGAGGAUCAGGAAGGCAGAUCUUUGGGCUCCAUCUUUGCCAUCAAGCAUGUCUGGAGGUGUCAUGCAGGUGAUAGUAUGGAGUCAGUGGAGGAAAAUCCGCACUAAGACCAAAAUGAGAACAUAAAUACACAGCCAUCUCCCACAAAGGUUUGCACUGUUCAUGUUGCCUAGGAUUCCUCAAUGAAGAGGUGGGAACUCAGCUAAAUGAGACGCUGGCUUCUCUGAUGCCUCAGCCCAGUGCCUUGAAAGGGUGCUUUGGUCCACUGCCAGAAGGCAACUGAGGAAAUGGAGAGUGAAGGCGUUGGCUUCAGCCAGUCUGUGCACAGCCUCCCUACUAUCCAUGGAGUUACUGAGUUACAGGUGUUGUUUAAGCCUUUUUUUCCCUGUCCCACAAAGUUCUGGUCUGGUAGUUCCAUUCAGUGGAACUGAUGAGCAUCCAGUGAAGGGGAUACAGUUGUGCAGCACCAUGCCUAGGAUCCCAUUGACAAAGAUGCAGAAAUAGUCAAGCCGAGAGGAUUAUGGCCUCACACUGCUUCAGGAAGGACAUCCCACAGGUGGGAA
Molecule: long non-coding RNA, 1333 nt
Organism: Centrocercus urophasianus (Greater sage-grouse)
Lineage: Eukaryota; Metazoa; Chordata; Aves; Galliformes; Phasianidae
Exons: 3
Source: RefSeq, a predicted model, not a curated record